UAGGGAAUAUUGGACAAUGGGCGAAAGCCUGAUCCAGCAACGCCGCGUGUGCGAUGAAGGCCUUCGGGUUGUAAAGCACUUUUAGAGGAGAUGAGAAAGGACAGUAUCCUCUGAAUAAGCCUCGGCGAACUACGUGCCAGCAGCCGCGGUAAAACGUAGGAGGCUAGCGUUAUCCGGAUUUAUUGGGCGUAAAGCGCGUGCAGGCGGUUUGUCAAGUUGGAUGUGAAAGCUCCUGGCUUAACUGGGAGAGGUCGUUCAAAACUGAUAGACUAGAGAAUGGUAGAGGGAGGUGGAAUUCCGGGUGUAGUGGUGAAAUGCGUAGAUAUCCGGAGGAACACCAGUGGCGAAAGCGGCCUCCUGGACCAUUUCUGACGCUAAGACACGAAAGCUAGGGUAGCAAACG
This 403-nucleotide ribosomal RNA is filed under the name uncultured prokaryote. RNAcentral describes it as "bacterial SSU rRNA". It matches the Rfam family "Bacterial small subunit ribosomal RNA", at positions 355 to 774 of the family's 1533-position model. The record is from RNAcentral.